GUGUAAACCUCUCUUUUCACGAUUUUUCCAAUUGGAGACUUGGGGAUUCUUUUGGCUACAGUAUUCUUCUUUCUCUCUAGCCAUUAUUUUUGUUUUGCUCUGGGUUUUAUUGUUCAUUUGCUACAAAGAUUUUAAUAUUUUUGAGUCAUCCCUUUUGGUUCCAAGAAAUUUUGCCAAUUCCCGCUUCUCAAGAUUUUUGUUGUGCUCUUCUGUUCGUCUAAUCAGGAUCUUAAGGUUCUUCCGUUAAAAUGAUUCAUCGACUUCGGCAAGAGCAGGAUUUUUCAAUUAGUAGCUAUGGCCGUUUUGAAUUCUGAAAUUGAAAAAAAAAAUGUAUGCAAUUAGUGCUGAUUUUCUAGACUGUACUAAUUGUUUCUUUUUUGAUAGAUGAAUAUAUAGUUGCUAAUGUUGAUGGUAUUAAGUUGCUAAUUUUGAUGGAAUUAUUAUAAUUUCCGUCGCUUGUUUCUAUAUUUUGUUUACUGCUGUUCAUUUUACAUGCAAGUGUUACAUAUAUAUACAUAAA
Gossypium arboreum is the source of this 520-nucleotide long non-coding RNA. RefSeq lists it as uncharacterized. The transcript is spliced from 2 exons. The record is from RefSeq and is a predicted model, not a curated record. NCBI's taxonomy places the organism in Eukaryota, Viridiplantae, Streptophyta, Magnoliopsida, Malvales, Malvaceae.